This 140-nucleotide microRNA precursor is filed under the name Gossypium hirsutum (cotton). Its description in RNAcentral is "MIR7502 microRNA precursor family". It matches the Rfam family "MIR7502 microRNA precursor family". The record is from Rfam by way of RNAcentral. Lineage: Eukaryota; Viridiplantae; Streptophyta; Magnoliopsida; Malvales; Malvaceae.
GGGUAAAGGUUUCAUCCAUUUUUAUUAAAAUUGGAGUAACUGACAUAAUAACCAAACAGUUACAUAUCGCGUGCCCGUGUAUCUCAUUUUGACAUAUAAGGAUCAGUUUUUAAUAAUAGAAAUGGAUGAAAUUUUUAACA